UACAGAGGGUGCGAGCGUUAAUCGGAUUUACUGGGCGUAAAGCGUGUGUAGGUGGCCGCGUAAGUCGAUUGUGAAAGCCCGGGGCUUAACCCCGGAAUUGCACCUCAAACUACAUGGCUAGAGCAUUGGAGAGGGUAGCAGAAUUCAUGGUGUAGCAGUGAAAUGCGUAGAUAUCAUGAGGAAUACCAGAGGCGAAGGCGGCUACCUGGACAAUUGCUGACGCUCAGGCACGAAAGCGUGGGGAGCAAAAGGG
RNAcentral lists this ribosomal RNA (253 nucleotides) under uncultured bacterium. RNAcentral describes it as "partial 16S ribosomal RNA". It matches the Rfam family "Bacterial small subunit ribosomal RNA", at positions 524 to 776 of the family's 1533-position model. The record is from RNAcentral.